UGAGGAAUUUUGCGCAAUGGGCGAAAGCCUGACGCAGCAACGCCGCGUGGGGGAUGAAGGCCCUCGGGUUGUAAACCCCUUUUCUGGGGGAAGAUAGUGACGGUACCCCAGGAAUAAGUCACGGCAAACUACGUGCCAGCAGCCGCGGUAAUACGUAGGUGGCUAGCGUUGUCCGGAUUUACUGGGCGUAAAGCGCGCGCAGGCGGUUUGGAAAGUCUGUGGUGAAAUCUCUUGGCUCAACCAAGAGGGGUCUGCAGAUACUCCCAGACUUGAGUGGCGUAGACGAAGGUGGAAUUCCGGGUGUAGUGGUGAAAUGCGUAGAUAUCCGGAGGAACACCAGUGGCGAAGGCGGCCUUCGAGGCGCUAACUGACGCUGAGGCGCGAAAGCGUGGGGAGCGAACCGGAUUAGAUACCCGCGUAGUCC
This 424-nucleotide ribosomal RNA is filed under the name uncultured bacterium. Its description in RNAcentral is "bacterial SSU rRNA". It matches the Rfam family "Bacterial small subunit ribosomal RNA", at positions 355 to 796 of the family's 1533-position model. The record is from RNAcentral.